Molecule: non-coding RNA, 71 nt
Organism: Podarcis lilfordi (Lilford's wall lizard)
Lineage: Eukaryota; Metazoa; Chordata; Lepidosauria; Squamata; Lacertidae
Source: the annotation of a GenBank genome assembly
GGAUAGCUCAGUCAGUAGAGCUUGAAACUCUCAAUCCCAGAGGGCUGUGGGUUCGAGCCCCACGUUGGGUG